AAGUCUUAUAGUUGAGGAUAUAAUUCAGGAUUUAUAAUUCUGAAUUCUGAAUUCUGAAUUUAGAGGAUUUA
Molecule: transfer RNA, 71 nt
Filed under: Okeania sp. KiyG1
Lineage: Bacteria; Bacillati; Cyanobacteriota; Cyanophyceae; Oscillatoriales; Microcoleaceae
Description: tRNA-Ile
Source: RNAcentral